GGGGACAAGGGGGCUGCCAACACCCAGCGACGGAGACGGGGACUCCGACAUGGCACUUGUUGGAGGGUCUCACGAAACUCAGGAACUGGGUCUCUUCUGAGGUAGACAGACCACAACUGCAGAGCAUCGUCAGACAGGAGAUAAAUACGUCCAUGUACAACACGCAGCAAAAUGAGGAAGCAGACCUGUGAGAUGUAAUAAACAACGUCCUUCUUGCCAUCCAUGCUGUAAACACAGCGGAGAUGUUCCUUGGCUGUUCCUGACACCCCCUUAGCACCUCCCAGCGUGAGCCAAACACUCUGGUGUUGUUUGCUCCCCUUGGUUAGGCUGCCUGCAAUUUCACCAAGAGAACACCAUUCUGGUUAAGAAGGAUUCUCUUUUAAACCAAAUGGAACUUCUGGGAGGCUCCAGGCUGUCAGCCAGUCACACCUCCAGGAGGAUUAGCAAGGCUGAUUCUCCUUCUCCUUCCCACCUGCUCGAGGUGAGGAAACUGAGGCUCGAUUAACUUGUCUAAGUCACCAAGCUGGGACAGAUGCCACCCCCAGCAGUCUUGCUCCAGAUACUUCUCUGCCUGCCACAGCAGGUGGUGGUGUUCCCAUCGAACAGCUGAGAAAACUGAGGGAGCAGUUCAUUCCCACCCUCUUCCUCAACCUCCCCUGCUCCCCCAGCCCUCCUUUCUUGAACCCCCUCCCACACUUAGCCACCAACCCCGGAGCUUAGCAUAUCUCAAACUUGUUCUCAUGGGACCAGAUAAAUCCCUGCCCAGGUCUGAGAGGCGCUGGCCUCAAGGCUAGGACACAGGACUCUGGUUAGGGUCUCAGCCAGACUCUGCAGAGAGUGAUCAGAAAGGACUGCAAGGCUGAGACUGUGCCAGAGGAGUGGGGAGGAGAAAGGCUCCUGAAGACCAGAUCUCUGCACGACCGUGGCGGCCCCUGCAGCUCUGCACAGCCCCUCCUCCCCUUUUCCUCAAAAGAAGCAAAUCCUCCAUGAAAGAUUUUUGGCUUCACAGAAGGACUUGGCCCCAUCUGAGAACACGUGAGCCAUCUCUAGAAGUGCUGAGUCCCCAUCAGUGGAGGCACUCGGCACCAGAGAAUGCCUUUCCCGGGAGGGGCACUGCUGGGCAGGUGGAAGGGCUCUCCCCUCCUCUCCCCUCCUCUCUUCUUCUCUGAUAUCUAAUGAUCACUACAAACUCAAC
This is a long non-coding RNA of Homo sapiens (human), 1195 nucleotides long. The record is from Ensembl. Lineage: Eukaryota; Metazoa; Chordata; Mammalia; Primates; Hominidae.